Molecule: ribosomal RNA, 659 nt
Filed under: uncultured bacterium
Lineage: Bacteria
Description: bacterial SSU rRNA
Rfam family: Bacterial small subunit ribosomal RNA
Source: RNAcentral
AUGGCGGACGGGUGAGUAACGCGUGAGAAUCUGCCUUGGGGUCGGGGACAACCACUGGAAACGGUGGCUAAUACCGGAUAAGCCGAUUGGUGAAAGAUUUAUUGCCCGAAGAGGAGCUCGCGUCUGAUUAGCUAGUUGGUGAGGUAAGAGCUCACCAAGGCAGCGAUCAGUAGCUGGUCUGAGAGGACGAUCAGCCACACUGGGACUGAGACACGGCCCAGACUCCUACGGGAGGCAGCAGUGGGGAAUUUUCCGCAAUGGGCGAAAGCCUGACGGAGCAAGACCGCGUGAGGGAGGAAGGCUCUUGGGUUGUAAACCUCUUUUCUCAGGGAAGAAGCUCUGACGGUACCUGAGGAAUCAGCCUCGGCUAACUCCGUGCCAGCAGCCGCGGUAAUACGGAGGAGGCAAGCGUUAUCCGGAAUUAUUGGGCGUAAAGCGUCCGCAGGUGGCGAUUCAAGUCUGCUGUCAAAGCACGGGGCUUAACUCCGUAAAGGCAGUGGAAACUGAAUAGCUAGAGUGCCGUAGGGGUAGAGGGAAUUCCCGGUGUAGCGGUGAAAUGCGUAGAGAUCGGGAAGAACAUCGGUGGCGAAAGCGCUCUACUGGACGGCAACUGACACUCAGGGACGAAAGCUAGGGGAGCGAAUGGGAUUAGAUACCCC